Molecule: unclassified non-coding RNA, 3212 nt
Organism: Stegodyphus dumicola
Lineage: Eukaryota; Metazoa; Arthropoda; Arachnida; Araneae; Eresidae
Source: RefSeq, a predicted model, not a curated record
UCUGAUCUACCAUACUUGUGCUUUCGUCUUAUUUUGUCCAUACUGCUCACUUUGUUUUACCGAUGGUGUUCAACAGAUGCAGAGUAAAAGGAGGCAAUGCUUUUUGAAACUCUAAUAUAUCACUAUUAUAUGUUCUUAGCAGUGAUUUCGAUGGGGCAAAGCUCCUAUAAAGGGUAUCUCUAGUAGCUCUACGAUGUGGACACAUGCGUUAACAGCGCCCUGUAGGAAACAAACAAAAAAUUACUCUGUUUUAAUAUGGUGUCAAUGAAGCGUCUCACUAUCUCUUGUAGCACACUGUUCCCUAGGCAACCUGAGACCGCGAAAGAAAAUGUGAAGGUGAGAAAUUAUUAAAUAAUGGAGCAACUGAAUCUUUAUAAUUUUUAUGAUUGGAGACUGAUAAUUAUUAUGCAGUGGAACUGUGUUAGUGCCAAUUUAAUAGUAAAUAAUAAUAGAAAUUAAUUUGAGAUAUGGCAGAAGGAAUACCUGAAAUUGAUUGUGUUUCUGACUAUUCUGACUCAGAAACUUGCAGUUCAUCCUGUUGCUCUAGAAGUGAUGGGGAACAUGAACUUCCAUGGCUAGAAAGAGUAGGGGCGAAAGGAGAUUUGUUUUAUGUCGAAUUGCAGUGCUCUGUGAACUCAUUUAGCUCUAACCUAAGUAAUACUCCAUUAGAGGCAGCUGAUGCAAAGGCAGCUCAUAAAGUAAAAUCUAGAUUAAAUACCACUGAAAAAUUCAAAAAAUUGAUGAAAAGAAGGAAGAAAAUUGUACAAAAUUCAAUUUCUCUUCUGAAGUCAAACAAAUUUCGUACAAAUUCCUCUGACGAUAUUUCAUUCGAUUCACUGCCUAUACCUUUCAGGGAUAUAUAUGUUGAUAUUGGUUCUUCAAGACAAACUAUAGGCCAUAAAGCUACACUAGCUGAAGAAUUAUUCGGUCUUGAACUGGGCAGAGAAGAUGAAAAAAGUUCUAUUGUUGAGGAUAACAGGUUAAAAGUACUGUCAUUUCCUUCAGGUAAAGAAAUAGCUGAUGUGAAAAUUGGUGAUUGGCUGAAAUCUGUAAAUGAUAUACCUGUCAAUUUCAACAACAUAGAUGAUGUUCUCAGAAAUAUUGCCUUGCCAUCAACGGUGAAACUCACCGUUUCUUCUGCAUCUAAUGGAGCACUGUUAUCGAAUUUUCAUCCUAGAUAUAGUGCUAUUCUGAGGCAACUUCUUGAUGAAUCAGAUGUUGUGAGAGAAUCAAAAUCACUUUUUCAACAUAUACCAUAUGGACUUUUUUAUCUUGUCAAUGAAGCAGGUAGUUCCAGAGAUGAUCCUGUCUUGUAUAAAUAUCCUCCAGAAAAUACACCUCUUUUGAAUCUUACAAGUAUGUUUAUGACAAUAGGACACAUGAUUCCUGACAUUGAUUUAAGUACCCCACUUCUUAGUUGUAAUAUUAUUGUUCAAAAUGAAGUGGUGCAUAUUGGCUUUAGCAAAGAAGAAAAUGAACUAUUAGUUCUUGCUCUUCCAUCAUCUAGUGCAACAGUUAGAGAAGUUCAGUACUUUACAGCUAACAUAGUUAAACUACUUAAGUUUCAAUACUCAACUCUAGAAAAUGCCUUUAUGACUGAAGAAUACAGAAAUCGCAUAGAAAUUUACUUUGCAGAUUUCUUUGAGUAUUUCUUAGGCUCAGUAUAUUCUGGGCAAAAAGGUGUUUCAUGUUCUCAUACUUUGGAAAUUCUGCCAAGUGUUCACUGGGUUCCCCUUCCAGUAGAUCUGAAGACUGAAAUCGAUGACAUUCUAAGUGAACUAGAAUCAUCAGAUUUUGAGAGUUCAUGUCAUGGUUUUUAUGGCAAUCAAAGAAUUUAUGGCAUUUUGGGAUCCUGCAUAUUUUACAAGGGAUAUUUGCUGAGCAAUCACCUUCCUAAAAGUGAUUUGCUAGAUUUUCACUUAUUCCUCCAUCACCAUCAUAUACUAAAAUUAACAAGAAUGCAGCCUGUAUCUAAGAUCAUCAUUUGGCAUGAAGUAUUCCCUUCAAGGCACCAAGAACCUUCUGUAGUGAACCCAGACUUCCAGGAAACAUCUGGUAGAUAUUUCAUGCUAAUAGUGGCAAUGGAUUGUGCAUCAACAUGGAAUCCAUUAUCUUCCAUUUUUACCAGUACCGGAAAUGCACAUUUGUCUAACUCUAACAUUAACAGUGUGGGAAAUCUCGGUGGUCAUUCUAGUGCCUUAUUAGAGAAAGGAGCAAUCUCCUGGAAAGGCUUAGAAGGAAAUUUGACAGAAAGACUAGAUGAUCCAGAAGUUGAAAGACAACAUCUCAUUUCUUUUAUGGGUCCAGCGGAUGGUGAAUCUGAUGUAGAAUCAAACUAUUCAGAUGACUCAAAUGACAAUUCACAGUCUCAAGAUAAAAGAUCUAGGAGCUACAGUACUUCAACUGGUUCUACUAAUGGUUCUCAAGGAAGCAGUGAAUAUGUAAAUGUACAGUUACCUAAACACGGUACUGCAUCGGAUGCAACUGGACUUCUUGGAUGUGAAAACCUUUUCAGUGAAAAUGCAGUAAGCGUUGUAGCUGGAUGUGAAAAUACUUUAUUCCAUUAUUUGCAUAUGGAUCCAGUAGAGGGUAUUUUCUUAGCUCCUGUACGUGAUGAUGCUGACUUGUUUCAAGGAUCAGUUAUGAAGAAUAUUUUGGACACUUUUCACAGAUCUUGUCUGAAUAUGCGGACUGUAUUUGCACAUUCUUUAAGGAAUGAGAAAAUCACUAAAGCAAAUAUAACUAAAAGAUAUGGGGUCAAUAAUUUCAUUCAUACUACUUACGAACAGGGUAUUCUUUUUCAUUGCAAUCUGAAAGAACCUACAAAGCAAAAAAAUUCGUUGAGUUUCUGGAUUGUUGGGGCUGGACACUUGUCAAGAAUCCAUCAGGAAUGGUCCACCCUAUAGGCAUUUUAACCAUCUUAUCACAGGGAAGAAUGACCUAGUCCCCAGUGUGUCACCACAGGGGAUUACAUCAUGAAGAGGGGGAAAAGAAUAGAAGUCAGGAAAGGAACAUUCAUUCUCUGUUAACUAGUCUACCAUCUAGGGUGGCACGUCAUUUUUGAUGCGAGGGUUUGUUUAAAGGUUGUUCUUUAAUCCUGAACCUCGAGAAGUAUACGUUUGUUACCAUGACUCAGUACAACAAGAUAUAGUAGAAAUUGCUUUUCGCCUUGGAUUUGGCCUUUCCCUAUGAUGAUUUUAGUUGAAUUGCUG